This 754-nucleotide ribosomal RNA is filed under the name uncultured bacterium. RNAcentral's name for it is "bacterial SSU rRNA". It matches the Rfam family "Bacterial small subunit ribosomal RNA", at positions 28 to 776 of the family's 1533-position model. The record is from RNAcentral.
GAUGAACGCUAGCGACAGGCUUAACACAUGCAAGUCGAGGGGCAGCGGGGGUAGCAAUACCCGCCGGCGACCGGCGCACGGGUGAGUAACGCGUAUGCAACUUGCCUAUCAGAGGGGGAUAACCCGGCGAAAGUCGGACUAAUACCGCAUGAAGCAGGGGCCCCGCAUGGGGAUAUUUGCUAAAGAUUCAUCGCUGAUAGAUAGGCAUGCGUUCCAUUAGGCAGUUGGCGGGGUAACGGCCCACCAAACCGACGAUGGAUAGGGGUUCUGAGAGGAAGGUCCCCCACAUUGGUACUGAGACACGGACCAAACUCCUACGGGAGGCAGCAGUGAGGAAUAUUGGUCAAUGGGCGUAAGCCUGAACCAGCCAAGUCGCGUGAGGGAUGAAGGUUCUAUGGAUCGUAAACCUCUUUUAUAAGGGAAUAAAGUGUGGGACGUGUCCCGUUUUGUAUGUACCUUAUGAAUAAGGAUCGGCUAACUCCGUGCCAGCAGCCGCGGUAAUACGGAGGAUCCGAGCGUUAUCCGGAUUUAUUGGGUUUAAAGGGUGCGUAGGCGGCCUUUUAAGUCAGCGGUGAAAGUCUGUGGCUCAACCAUAGAAUUGCCGUUGAAACUGGGAGGCUUGAGUAUGUUUGAGGCAGGCGGAAUGCGUGGUGUAGCGGUGAAAUGCAUAGAUAUCACGCAGAACCCCGAUUGCGAAGGCAGCCUGCCAAGCCAUGACUGACGCUGAUGCACGAAAGCGUGGGGAUCANACAGG